RNAcentral lists this ribosomal RNA (386 nucleotides) under uncultured bacterium. RNAcentral describes it as "bacterial SSU rRNA". It matches the Rfam family "Archaeal small subunit ribosomal RNA", at positions 339 to 727 of the family's 1478-position model. The record is from RNAcentral.
GCGCGAAAACUUCGCAAUGGGGGAAACCCCGACGAGGGAAAGCCAAGUGCCAGCACAAUGUGUUGGCUGUUUUCCUGUCUAAAAAACAGGGAGAGUAAGGGCUGGGUAAGACGGGUGCCAGCCGCCGCGGUAAUACCUGCAGCCCGAGUGGUGCUCGUUAUUAUUGGGUCUAAAUCGUCCGUAGUCGGCUGAGUAGAUGCCUGGGUAAAUCGAGGCGCUUAACGUCUCGAAUUCCAGGUAGACCGCUCGGCUAGGGAUUGGGCGAGGUGCAAAGUACUCCGGGGGUAGGGGUAAAAUCCUGUAAUCCUCGGGGGACUACCAGUGGCGAAGGCGUUGCACCAGAACAAGUCCGACGAUCAGGGACGAAGCCCUGGGGCGCAAACGGG